Limulus polyphemus (Atlantic horseshoe crab) is the source of this 676-nucleotide long non-coding RNA. RefSeq lists it as uncharacterized. The record is from RefSeq and is a predicted model, not a curated record. NCBI's taxonomy places the organism in Eukaryota, Metazoa, Arthropoda, Merostomata, Xiphosura, Limulidae. The transcript has 2 exons.
AUUCUCCAGAUUUUAAACUUACAAAAUUUCAAUCUUCUUUAUUCUCGCCCUUUUUUUUUCUCGAAUCGAGGGUCAAAAUGCGAUUUGUAAUAACUAUUUUUAUGGUCCAAUCUUUCCUUUCUAUCUGCUUGGCUUUAAACAUAAAACAAAAUCAAUUCGAGAUCUUUGCAGAAAAUCGUAUUUCGAACGAGACACCAUUGAGAAACUUCAAUAGUGUUGGAUUCAUAAUGUGUGCAAGGGAAUGUGCCAGAGACGAUCGAUGUUUGGCUUUUAACUUUCGAAAGUCCAGUUCAGGAUGCGAUCUUUUAUCAGCCGUGUCAAGUGAUCCACUCUCCUAUGACGAAUCACCUGGAAAUAACAUCUAUAAGAAGAUUACCGUUUAACCAUUGUUUCUUGCACUGACCAACGAAUGGCUAUGUGAGAAUACAUAAUCUGAUCCAGUUCUGGACCAUAGUUUACGAUUGCACAUGAAUCACCGGAUGAUGAUGAUGAUGUUUUGAAGACAAUACCGAUAAUAAGAAAUAAAAAAAAUAACCCACAUCACCACUGCACCUGCCAGAAUCUCGUUAUGUUAAUCAUAAUGUAAGAUUUAUAUAUUCAAUAAAUCAUGUUGAUAUACUAAACAUCAUGUGUAUUAUUGUUAUUAUUAUGUUCAAUAAAUCAUGUUGAUAUACUA